This 441-nucleotide ribosomal RNA is filed under the name uncultured bacterium. RNAcentral's name for it is "partial 16S ribosomal RNA". It matches the Rfam family "Bacterial small subunit ribosomal RNA", at positions 339 to 795 of the family's 1533-position model. The record is from RNAcentral.
CUACGGGAGGCACCAGUGGGGAAUAUUGGGCAAUGGGCGCAAGCCUGACCCAGCAACGCCGCGUGAGGGAAGAAGGUUUUCGGAUUGUAAACCUCUGUCCUUGGGGACGAAGAAGUGACGGUACCCAAGGAGGAAGCUCCGGCUAACUACGUGCCAGCAGCCGCGGUAAUACGUAGGGAGCAAGCGUUGUCCGGAAUUACUGGGCGUAAAGGGUGCGUAGGCGGCAUAUUAAGUCAGGUGUGAAAUACUCGGGCUCAACCCGAGGGGUGCAUUUGAAACUGAUAAGCUUGAGUGUGAGAGAGGAAAGUGGAAUUCCUAGUGUAGCGGUGGAAUGCGUAGAUAUUAGGAGGAACACCAGUGGCGAAGGCGACUUUCUGGCUCAUAACUGACGCUGAGGCACGAAAGCGUGGGGAGCAAACAGGAUUAGAUACCCUCGUAGUC